AUCUACGGCCAUGCCACCCUGAACAAGCCCGAUGUCUGAUCUCGGAAGCUAAGCAGGGCCAGGCCUGGUUAGUACUUGAAUGGGAGACUGCCUAGGAAGACCAGGAGCUGUAGGCA
RNAcentral lists this ribosomal RNA (116 nucleotides) under Pteropus alecto (black flying fox). Lineage: Eukaryota; Metazoa; Chordata; Mammalia; Chiroptera; Pteropodidae. The record is from RNAcentral.